GUCCUGUUUUUUCAUAUAAGUUUAAAUCUAUGAGUAUGGUAGUGAUAAGUUUAUUACCUUUGAUUAUUUUGUAUUACCUAGUUUUUUAUUAGCUUUGGGAUGGGAUUUUUCUUUAAUUUUUGGAUUAGUUUUGGUUUUUUGCAUUAUCUAGCUUUUUAUUAGCUUUGAUUGCUAGUCCUUUUUGGAUUGAACUAAUAGCAGAUUUAGAGUAGUGAAGACUAACUUGACCUUUAGGUCCUGUUUUUUCAUAUAAGUUUAAAUCUAUGAGUAUGGUAGUGAUAAGUUUAUUACCUUUGAUUAUUUUGGAUUAUCCAAUUUUUUAUUAGUUUUGGGAUGGGAUUUUUCUUUAAUUUUUGGAUUACUUUUGGUUUUUUGCAUUAUCUAGCUUUUUAUUAGCUUUGAUUGCUAGUCCUUUUUGGAUUGAACUAAUAGCAGAUUUAGAGUAGUGAAGACUAACUUGACCUUUAGGUCCUGUUUUUUCAUAUAAGUUUAAAUCUAUGAGUAAGAUAGUGAUAAGUUUAUUACCUUUGAUUAUUUUGUAUUACCUAGUUUUUUAUUAGCUUUGGGAUGGGAUUGUUCUUUGAUUUUUGAAUUAGUUUUGGUUUUCUGCAUGAUCUAGCUUUUUGUUAGCUUUGGGAUGGGAUUUUUCUUUGAUUUUUGGAUUAGUUUUGGUUUUUUGCAUUAAUUAGCUUUUUUUAUUAGCUUUGAUUGCUAGUCCUUUUUGGAUUGAACUAAUGAAACCAGAUUUAGAGUAGUGAAGACUAACUUGGCCUUUAGGUCCUGUUUUUUCAUAUAAGUUUAAAUCUAUGAGUAUGGUAGUGAUAAGUUUAUUACCUUUGAUUAUUUUGGAUUAUCCAAUUUUUUAUUAGUUUUGGGAUGGGAUUUUUCUUUAAUUUUUGGAUUACUUUUGGUUUUUUGCAUUAAUUAGCUUUUUUAUUAGCUUUGAUUGCUAGUCCUUUUUGGAUUGAACUAAUGAAACCAGAUUUAGAGUAGUGAAGACUAACUUGGCCUUUAGGUCCUGUUUUUUCAUAUAAGUUUAAAUCUAUGAGUAUGGUGGUGAUAAGUUUAUUACCUUUGAUUAUUUUGUAUUACCUAGUUUUUUAUUAGCUUUGGGAUGGGAUUGUUCUUUAAUUUUUGAAUUAGUUUUGUUUUUUUGCAUUACCUAGCUUUUUAUAAGCUUUGAUUGCUAGUCCUUUUUGGAUUGAACUAAUAGCAGAUUUAGAGUAGUGAAGACUAACUUGACCUUUAGGUUCUGUUUUUUCAUAUAAGUUUAAAUCUAUGAGUAUGGUAGUGAUAAAUGUAUUACCUUUGAUUAUUUUGGAUUAUCCGAUUUUUUAUUAGCUUUGGGAUGGGAUUUUUCUUUAAUUUUUGGAUUAGUUUUGGUUUUUUGCAUUAAUUAGCUUUUUAUUAGCUUUGAUUGCUAGUCCUUUUUGGAUUGAACUAAUAGCAGAUUUAGAGUAGUGAAGAGUAACUUGGCCUAUAGGCCUAUCACUUUAAAUAGAUGAGUAUGGUAACAAUAUGUUUAUUACCUUUGAUUAUUGAUUGUGCAUUAGCUAACAUUUUAUUAGCUUUGGGAUUUUUCUUUAAUUUUUUAUUAGUUUUGUUUUUUUACAUUAUCUAGCUUUUUAUUAGCUUUGAUUGAUUGCAAGUCCUUUUUGGACUAAACUAAUGUGCAGAACACAUAGAACUGUGAAGAUCAACUUGGCCUUUAGGUCCUGUUUUUUCAUAUAAGUUUAAAUCAAUGAAUAUGGUAGCAACAGCGAUAUGUUUAUUACCUUUGAUUAUUGAUUAUUAUGUAUUAUCUAAUAUUUUAUUAGCUUUGGAUUUUUCUUUAAUUUUUCAUUAGUUUUGGUUUUUUGCAUUAUCUAGCUUUUUAUUAGCUUUGAUUGAUUGCAAAUCCUUUUUGGACUGAACUAAUGAGCAGAACACAGAACUGUGAAGAUUAAUUUGGCCCUUAGGUCCUGUUUUUUCAUAUAAGUUUAAAUCAAUGAAUAUGGUAGCAACAGCGAUAUGUUUAUUACCUUUGAUUAUUGAUUAUUGUGUAUUAUCUAAUAUUUUAUUAGCUUUGGGAUUUUUGUUUAAUUUUUCAUUAGUUUUGGUUUUUUGCAUUAUCUAGCUUUUUAUUAGUUUUGAUUGAUUGCAAAUCCUUUUUGGACUGAACUAAUGAGCAGAACACAUAGAACUGUGAACAUUAACUUGGCCUUUAGGUCCUGUUUUUUCAUAUCAAUUUAAAUCGAUGAGUUUGGUAGCAAUUAUGUUUAUUACUGUUAAUUAUUUUGUAUUAUCCAGAUUUUUAUUAGCUUUGGGAUUUUUCUUUAUCUAAUUUUUCAUUAGUUUUGUUUUUUUGCAUUAUAUAUAUCUAGCUUUUUAUAAACUUUGAUUGUUUGCAAGUCAUUUUUGGAUUGAACUAAUAGCAGAUGUAGAGCUGUGAAGAUUAACUUGGCCUUUAGGUCCUGUUUUUCCAUAUCAGUUUAAAUUGAUGAGUAUGGUAGUGAUAUGUUUAUUACUUUUGAUUAUUUUGUAUUAUCUGACUUUUUAUUAGCUUUGGGAUUUUUCUUUAAUUUUUCAUUAGUUUUGGUUUUUUGCAUUUAUCUUUUUGUUAGCUUUGGGUUUUUUGGUAUUAUCCAGCAUUUUAUUAGCUUUGAUUUUUUGUAUUAUCCAACUUUUUAUUAAUUUGGUAUUUUGAAUUAUCCAAAUUUUUAUUAGCUUUGAUUUUCUGUAUUAUCCAGCUUUUUAUUAACUUUGGUAUUUUGAAUUAUCCAGCUUUUUUUAUUAGUCUUGUUUUUUUUUUUUUUUUAAUUAUCUGCUUUUAUUAGCUUUGGAAUUUCCUUUAUUCAGUUUUUUUAAAAUUACUUUUAAUUUUUUGAAUUAUCUAGAGUAGACAGUUGGUAGAUGCAGAAACCUGAAGGAUUCUAGUAAGUUGAAGCCUGAUGAGGGAGAAGAGUGUGGUCCAGAAUUCAUAAAGACUUAUUAUUACCACCUGGGCUGAGUGCUGAAGACAUCUUGCCUCUCCUGAAGCCAACGAGCCCCAUAGUCUUUAUUGAUAUUUCUGUGCUUCCUAUAUCUCCAUGACAGAAAGACAGCCUUUCUCUAAGAUAUCAUAGUAGAGCAAGUACAACUUCUGAGCAGCAUGUAUGAAAAUACAUGCCAGGGAAGAAUUCUUCAUGAUUUUGGCUGGUUAUCCAUCACACCAGGGGAUGAUAAGUCCCCUUCACAACAGACAUAGACUGAGCGCAGCAUUUUGUAUUUCACUGUACUAACCCAGAAGCUUGACUUCCCUUGAGGUGAGAGUGGGUAUUCUUCAAGGGGGAUAGAACCGAGGAGUGUGAAGGGAGGACAGGUGGAUAGAGUAGCUCAGAAUAGGGACCCAAAUGCAGCACACUUUCUCCUCUCCCAGUCCUGCCCCCUCGGUGAAGAAAUAAGCAGAUUCAUUUGGAGAAUUUUUUUAACCUGCUAAAGGGUGAGAUGGUUUAGGAAGAAGGAUUAUUGCUGGAGAUCCCUGUCUGUACUCACCAAGAGGUUUGCAGUUACCCUGGAGGAAAGUUUCAGAAGGAGUAGCCCACGUGGGCCAAGGAGUAGGGAGCUUUGGUGUCUUCUUGAUGGUCUCUGCUCUCUUCAGACAGGUUCAGAAAGUGGACAAGUCUUUGUCAAGAUGGGGGUUUUGAAGUUCGAUUUUUCCAUUGCUAUUAUCUGUUUUCAGGACCUGCUAUACUGGUUCAAUGUCACCUGUGAACCCUCAUUUAACAUGCUUGCUGCUUAUUAUAUUUACUGUAAUCACAUAUCAUAAUUCUAAUAAAGAUUCAGGUUUCAGGUU
This 3814-nucleotide long non-coding RNA is filed under the name Sarcophilus harrisii (Tasmanian devil). RNAcentral describes it as "lncRNA (ENSSHAG00000022727.1)". The record is from RNAcentral. Lineage: Eukaryota; Metazoa; Chordata; Mammalia; Dasyuromorphia; Dasyuridae.